RNAcentral lists this non-coding RNA (23 nucleotides) under Cricetulus griseus (Chinese hamster). The record is from RNAcentral. Lineage: Eukaryota; Metazoa; Chordata; Mammalia; Rodentia; Cricetidae.
GAUGCCUUGCUGUUAAUUGAGUG